Molecule: ribosomal RNA, 230 nt
Filed under: uncultured bacterium
Lineage: Bacteria
Description: partial 16S ribosomal RNA
Rfam family: Bacterial small subunit ribosomal RNA
Source: RNAcentral
GAUCAUGGCUCAGGACGAACGCUGGCGGCGCGCCUAACACAUGCAAGUCGAACGAGAGAGAGGAAGCUUGCUUCCUCAAUCGAGUGGCGAACGGGUGAGUAACGCGUGAGGAACCUGCCUCAAAGAGGGGGACAACAGUUGGAAACGACUGCUAAUACCGCAUAAGCCCACAGCUCGGCAUCGAGCAGAGGGAAAAGGAGCAAUCCGCUUUGAGAUGGCCUCGCGUCCUA